This 431-nucleotide ribosomal RNA is filed under the name uncultured bacterium. RNAcentral's name for it is "partial 16S ribosomal RNA". It matches the Rfam family "Bacterial small subunit ribosomal RNA", at positions 29 to 507 of the family's 1533-position model. The record is from RNAcentral.
AACGAACGCUGGCGGCAGGCUUAACACAUGCAAGUCGAGCGCCCCGCAAGGGGAGCGGCAGACGGGUGAGUAACGCGUGGGAACGUACCUUUUGGUUCGGAACAACUCCGGGAAACUGGAGCUAAUACCGGAUAAGCCCUAACGGGGAAAGAUUUAUCGCCGAAAGAUCGGCCCGCGUCUGAUUAGCUAGUUGGUGAGGUAACGGCCCACCAAGGCGACGAUCAGUAGCUGGUCUGAGAGGAUGAUCAGCCACACUGGGACUGAGACACGGCCCAGACUCCUACGGGAGGCAGCAGUGGGGAAUAUUGGACAAUGGGCGCAAGCCUGAUCCAGCCAUGCCGCGUGAGUGAUGAAGGCCUUAGGGUUGUAAAGCUCUUUUGUCCGGGAAGAUAAUGACUGUACCGGAAGAAUAAGCCCCGGCUAACUUCGUG